CCUACGGGAGGCAGCAGUGGGGAAUAUUGCGCAAUGGGCGAAAGCCUGACGCAGCGACGCCGCGUGAGGGAUGAAGGUCUUCGGAUCGUAAACCUCUGUCAGCAGGGAAGAACGGUCACUGUGCUAAUCAGCAGUGAAUUGACGGUACCUGCAAAGGAAGCACCGGCUAACUCCGUGCCAGCAGCCGCGGUAAUACGGAGGGUGCGAGCGUUAAUCGGAAUUACUGGGCGUAAAGCGCUCGUAGGCGGUAUGUCAAGUCAAUGGUGAAAUCCCCGGGCUCAACGUGGGAACUGCCUUUGAAACUGGCAGACUGGAGUGUGUGAGAGGAUAGUGGAAUUCCAGGUGUAGGAGUGAAAUCCGUAGAUAUCUGGAGGAACAUCAGUGGCGAAGGCGACUAUCUGGCACAUAACUGACGCUGAGGUGCGAAAGCGUGGGUAGCAAACAGGAUUAGAUACCCCAGUAGUC
RNAcentral lists this ribosomal RNA (465 nucleotides) under uncultured bacterium. Its description in RNAcentral is "partial 16S ribosomal RNA". It matches the Rfam family "Bacterial small subunit ribosomal RNA", at positions 338 to 795 of the family's 1533-position model. The record is from RNAcentral.